Phrynosoma platyrhinos (Desert horned lizard) is the source of this 72-nucleotide non-coding RNA. Lineage: Eukaryota; Metazoa; Chordata; Lepidosauria; Squamata; Phrynosomatidae. The record is from the annotation of a GenBank genome assembly.
GCCAGCGUGGCAUAGUGGUUUAAGUGUUGGACUAUGACUCUGGAGACCAGGGUUUGAUUCCCAUCUUAGCCA